This 484-nucleotide ribosomal RNA is filed under the name uncultured bacterium. RNAcentral describes it as "partial 16S ribosomal RNA". It matches the Rfam family "Bacterial small subunit ribosomal RNA", at positions 30 to 507 of the family's 1533-position model. The record is from RNAcentral.
AUUGAACGCUGGCGGCAGGCCUAACACAUGCAAGUCGAGCGGAUGAAGGGAGCUUGCUCCUGGAUUCAGCGGCGGACGGGUGAGUAAUGCCUAGGAAUCUGCCUGGUAGUGGGGGAUAACGUCCGGAAACGGGCGCUAAUACCGCAUACGUCCUGAUGGUGAAAGUGGGGGAUCUUCGGACCUCACGCUCUCAGAUGAGCCUAGGUCGGAUUAGCUAGUUGGUGGGGUAAAGGCCUACCAAGGCGACGAUCCGUAAAUGGUCUGAGAGGAUGAUCAGUCACACUGGAACUGAGACACGGUCCAGACUCCUACGGGAGGCAGCAGUGGGGAAUAGUGGACAAUGGGCGAAAGCCUGAUCCAGCCAUGCCGCGUGUGUGAAGAAGGUCUUCGGAUUGUAAAGCACUUUAAGUUGGGAGGAAGGGCAGUAAGUUAAUACCUUGCUGUUUUGACGGUACCAACAGAAUAAGCACCGGCUAACUUCGUG